UACGUAGGGCGCAAGCGUUGUCCGGAAUUAUUGGGCGUAAAGAGCUCGUAGGCGGUCUGUCACGUCGGAUGUGAAAAUCCAGGGCUUAACCCUGGACCUGCAUUCGAUACGGGCAGACUAGAGUUCGGUAGGGGAGACUGGAAUUCCUGGUGUAGCGGUGAAAUGCGCAGAUAUCAGGAGGAACACCGGUGGCGAAGGCGGGUCUCUGGGCCGAUACUGACGCUGAGGAGCGAAAGCGUGGGGAGCGAACAGG
This 253-nucleotide ribosomal RNA is filed under the name uncultured bacterium. Its description in RNAcentral is "partial 16S ribosomal RNA". It matches the Rfam family "Bacterial small subunit ribosomal RNA", at positions 524 to 776 of the family's 1533-position model. The record is from RNAcentral.